This 396-nucleotide ribosomal RNA is filed under the name uncultured bacterium. RNAcentral describes it as "partial 16S ribosomal RNA". It matches the Rfam family "Bacterial small subunit ribosomal RNA", at positions 523 to 918 of the family's 1533-position model. The record is from RNAcentral.
AUACGAAGGGUGCAAGCGUUAAUCGGAAUUACUGGGCGUAAAGCGCGCGUAGGUGGUUCGUUAAGUUGGAUGUGAAAGCCCCGGGCUCAACCUGGGAACUGCAUCCAAAACUGGCGAGCUAGAGUAUAGCAGAGGGUGGUGGAAUUUCCUGUGUAGCGGUGAAAUGCGUAGAUAUAGGAAGGAACACCAGUGGCGAAGGCGACCACCGGGGCUAAUACGGACACUGAGGUGCGAAAGCGUGGGGAGCAAACAGGAUUAGAUCCCCUGGUAGUCCACGCCGUAAACGAUGUCGACUAGCCGUUGGGAUCCUUGAGAUCUUAGUGGCGCAGCUAACGCAUUAAGUCGACCGCCUGGGGAGUACGGCCGCAAGGUUAAAACUUAAAUGAAUUGACGGGU